This 301-nucleotide ribosomal RNA is filed under the name uncultured bacterium. Its description in RNAcentral is "partial 16S ribosomal RNA". It matches the Rfam family "Bacterial small subunit ribosomal RNA", at positions 509 to 807 of the family's 1533-position model. The record is from RNAcentral.
CAGCCGCCACGGUAAUACAGAGGGUGCGAGCGUUAAUUGGAUUUACUGGGCGUAAAGCGUGCGUAGGCGGCUUUUUAAGUCGGAUGUGAAAUCCCUGAGCUUAACUUAGGAAUUGCAUUCGAUACUGGGAAGCUAGAGUAUGGGAGAGGAUGGUAGAAUUCCAGGUGUAGCGGUGAAAUGCGUAGAGAUCUGGAGGAAUACCGAUGGCGAAGGCAGCCAUCUGGCCUAAUACUGACGCUGAGGUACGAAAGCAUGGGGAGCAAACAGGAUUAGAGACCCCCGUAGUCCCUGUCUCUUAUAC